UGUGCAUGUGUGUGUGUGUGGGUGUGUGUGAGUCUGUGUGUGGAAAUGGCUUUUAACCAGAUUGAAUUUGACCCUAGAUUAGAACUUCCUUUUUCAUCUUUAGUAGCAGGGCCUUCAGGUUGUGGCAAGACUUUCUUUGUAAAAAAUGUAAUGGAAAAUCCUGAACAUGUUAUGAGAAAAAAACCUGAUAAUAUUGUCUGGGUUUAUACUUCAUAUCAACCAAUGUACGAUGAGCUCAAAAACCUGAAUAAAGACAUAAUUUUUAUCAAG
Syngnathus acus (greater pipefish) is the source of this 270-nucleotide long non-coding RNA. RefSeq lists it as uncharacterized. The transcript is spliced from 2 exons. The record is from RefSeq and is a predicted model, not a curated record. NCBI's taxonomy places the organism in Eukaryota, Metazoa, Chordata, Actinopteri, Syngnathiformes, Syngnathidae.